GACGAACGCUGGCGGCGUGCUUAACACAUGCAAGUCGAACGGAAAGGCCCUGCUUUUGUGGGGUGCUCGAGUGGCGAACGGGUGAGUAACACGUGAGUAACCUGCCCCUGACUUUGGGGUAACUUCAGGAAACUGGGGCUAAUACCGGAUAGGAGCUCCUGCUGCAUGGUGGGGGUUGGAAAGUUUCGGCGGUUGGGGAUGGACUCGCGGCUUAUCAGCUUGUUGGUGGGGUAGUGGCUUACCAAGGCUUUGACGGGUAGCCGGCCUGAGAGGGUGACCGGCCACAUUGGGACUGAGAUACGGCCCAGACUCCUACGGGAGGCAGCAGUGGGGAAUAUUGCACAAUGGGCGGAAGCCUGAUGCAGCAACGCCGCGUGCGGGAUGACGGCCUUCGGGUUGUAAACCGCUUUCGCCUGUGACGAAGCGUGAGUGACGGUAAUGGGUAAAGAAGCACCGGCUAACUACGUG
Molecule: ribosomal RNA, 468 nt
Filed under: uncultured bacterium
Lineage: Bacteria
Description: partial 16S ribosomal RNA
Rfam family: Bacterial small subunit ribosomal RNA
Source: RNAcentral